Molecule: long non-coding RNA, 638 nt
Filed under: Rattus norvegicus (Norway rat)
Lineage: Eukaryota; Metazoa; Chordata; Mammalia; Rodentia; Muridae
Description: long non-coding RNA NONRATT030890
Source: RNAcentral
AUUUCUGUUUGGUGGCAUUGUACUGGCCUUUAUCUAUGUACACCCAUGUAUCUGCAACUUCCUCACUGCUGUGUGUUUCUCUGUCUCUCUUUCUUUCCCCAUGUUUGUCUUGCACCCUUUGCAUCUUGCGCCUUUUUCAUUAUCCACACUGACUCUGUCUGCUCUCCUACUUUGCUCUCUGCUUCUUCUCUUCAACUUUCCUUUUGUCUCUUCCCCACCUCUCUCUCUCUUUCCUUGUUCUCCCCUCUGACUUCUUGUUUCUCUUCCUCCCAUUCCUCUAUCUUCCUUCUUUCUUUCCUUUCUGCUCCAUUCUUUCCCUGUUGAUACCUCUCUGUUCCUUUCUUCUUGCCUUUUUCCUGAUCAACCUCCCAUUCUGCAUCUUCUCCCCUUUUCUUAUCUCUCCAUCAUUGUUUCUCUUCCCGCAUCCCCUUGUCUAUAUUUACCUUCCUCUUCCUUUUCCGUACUUCUCCAUGUCACUUUUGCUCUCUCUAUCUCUCUCCUUCCCUCUUCCUAUAUAUCGCCCCAUUCUUUCUAUCCUAUAUGCUUCCUACCCAAUACCAUUAUUCCCUUCUCUCUCCUUCUUUACCUACAUCCCCAUCCUUUCUACCCCUGUUGGAGUCCUGGCCCGUGUCUGCCAC